UACGUAGGUCCCGAGCGUUGUCCGGAUUUAUUGGGCGUAAAGCGAGCGCUGGUGGUUUAUUAAGUCUGGUGUAAAAGGCAGUGGCUCAACCAUUGUAUGCAUUGGAAACUGGUAGACUUGAGUGCAGGAGAGGAGAGUGGAAUUCCAUGUGUAGCGGUGAAAUGCGUAGAUAUAUGGAGGAACACCGGUGGCGAAAGCGGCUCUCUGGCCUGUAACUGACACUGAGGCUCGAAAGCGUGGGGAGCAAAUAGG
Molecule: ribosomal RNA, 252 nt
Filed under: uncultured bacterium
Lineage: Bacteria
Description: partial 16S ribosomal RNA
Rfam family: Bacterial small subunit ribosomal RNA
Source: RNAcentral